AAAAAUGAUCUUGGUCGUCCUAUUGAUACAGAGAGUACUUGAUUCGAUGACGUCGAUGGAGCAUACACUGUUGUCACGUUUGGUGGUACAGCUUGCAAUGGAGUGUCAUUAAUUGGCCCCUAAAUAUUGGCAUUGGAAUUGGCCAUUGUUUCUAACAUCCAAGAUGAUUAAAUAUUAAUAAAUCUUUUUCAUUUAUAUUUUCACCAUAUA
Molecule: long non-coding RNA, 210 nt
Filed under: Physcomitrium patens
Lineage: Eukaryota; Viridiplantae; Streptophyta; Bryopsida; Funariales; Funariaceae
Description: long non-coding RNA (PPAT_LNC008029)
Source: RNAcentral